GGCUUUGAUGACCUAGUGGUUAGAGCGUCCGCCUCGGAUGCGGGAGGUGUUGGAUUCUAUCCCCGGUAAAGUCA
Molecule: non-coding RNA, 74 nt
Organism: Potamilus streckersoni
Lineage: Eukaryota; Metazoa; Mollusca; Bivalvia; Unionida; Unionidae
Source: the annotation of a GenBank genome assembly